AAGGACGAACGCUGGCGGCGUGCUUAACACAUGCAAGUCGAACGGUGAAGGGAAGCUUGCUUCCCGGAUCAGUGGCGAACGGGUGAGUAACACGUGGGCAAUCUGCCCCAGACUUUGGGAUAACUACUCGAAAGAGUAGCUAAUACCGAAUAUUCAGCCUUGCAGGCAUCUGCGAGGCUGGAAAGUUUCUCGGUCUGGGAUGAGCCCGCGGCCUAUCAGCUAGUUGGUGAGGUAAUGGCUCACCAAGGCGACGACGGGUAGCCGGCCUGAGAGGGCGACCGGCCACACUGGGACUGAGACACGGCCCAGACUCCUACGGGAGGCAGCAGUGGGGAAUAUUGCGCAAUGGGCGAAAGCCUGACGCAGCAACGCCGCGUGCGGGAUGAAGGCCUUCGGGUUGUAAACCGCUUUCAGCAGGGAAGAAGCGAAAGUGACGGUACCUGCAGAAGAAGCACCGGCUAACUACGUG
This 469-nucleotide ribosomal RNA is filed under the name uncultured bacterium. Its description in RNAcentral is "bacterial SSU rRNA". It matches the Rfam family "Bacterial small subunit ribosomal RNA", at positions 26 to 507 of the family's 1533-position model. The record is from RNAcentral.